AUUCCAGCUCCAAUAGCGUAUAUUAAAGUUGUUGCAGUUAGAACGCUCGUAGUCGGAUUUCGGGGCGGGCCGACCGGUCUGCCGAUGGGUACGCACUGGUCGGCGCGUCCUUCCUUCCGGAGACCGUGCCUACUCUUAACUGAGCGGGGGCGGGAGACGGAUCGUUUACUUUGAAAAAAUCAGAGUGUUUCAAGCAGGCAGCUCGCUCUUGCAUGGAUUAGCAUGGGAUAAUGAAAUAGGACUUUGGUGCUAUUUUGUUGGUUUCGAACACCGAAGUAAUGAUUAACAGGGACAGUCAGGGGCACUCGUAUUCCGCCGAGAGAGGUGAAAUUCUCAGACCAGCGGAAGACGAACUACUGCGAAAGCAUUUGCCAGGGAUGUUUUCAUUA
This 389-nucleotide ribosomal RNA is filed under the name Chrysochromulina sp. RNAcentral describes it as "partial small subunit ribosomal RNA". It matches the Rfam family "Eukaryotic small subunit ribosomal RNA", at positions 582 to 975 of the family's 1831-position model. The record is from RNAcentral. Lineage: Eukaryota; Haptophyta; Prymnesiales; Chrysochromulinaceae.